Long non-coding RNA from Apus apus (common swift), 1627 nucleotides. RefSeq lists it as uncharacterized. The transcript is spliced from 3 exons. Lineage: Eukaryota; Metazoa; Chordata; Aves; Apodiformes; Apodidae. The record is from RefSeq and is a predicted model, not a curated record.
UUGUGACUUGUUCUGAUUUUGGCAAAGCUUUUCACACUGGAAAUGGGAACAGUCUUUGCAUGCCAGGGGUCAGAAGCAAUUAGGCUUGAGAUUCUGAAGAAAUCUACCAGCAAUUAGCAGUUUGCUACUGCUGUCAAGGAAAUGGAAGCAUAUUUAAGCAUGGAAGGACAAGUUUCGGAAGGACAAGCCCCUUCAAGCUCUUCUACAGCCAUACAAAUUGAACUGAAGAAGGGUGAUUUUUGUAAUCCCUGCCUCUGCUUUUCUGACCACCUCAGUGAGAUGCACGGUGCCUGAUGUCCCAGUACUGGUGGCACCGCAGCGCUCCCGGCGCAGCUCCCGCUCCCACUGCCUGCACUUGUAAGUGCUCAGCACCCCUGCAGGGUAUGCUUCGCCCGACCAAGCACCAAGAAAAACACAGUUGUCUGCUUCAUUCACUCCAGACUUCCAACGGCUGCAACAAAGAAAGCAGAUUCCCCAGGGCACACUUGCUUUUACUGUGCCAUGAGUCCUCCAGCACAGGUCUUUUCUAUGCAGUUUCUUAGCAGAGAAGACCCACGGAAAACUUUGCUCUCAGAAGAAUCACCUGCAGUUCCCUCACUCUCGCCACUCGCAUAAUCUACCAAGUCCAUGUCCCUUUGUCUGCCUCCUCUACCAUCAAAAGAGUGGGGAGUGGGAUGCACGGGAGUGACAGGUUUCCUGAUCCAAUUCCUGUGCUUAAUCGGGCCCCACAUUGCAGCAGCACUGAGCAGCAGGAUCAGGGAAGACUAUUUUGAAUGCCAGUAGCCCCAGGGCUGGAGCAUGCCCAGAUGUUUCAUGGAAUGGCUCCACAGGCCAGUCACACACAGGUGUUUAUUGGCUUGAAGGAAAAAUCAGGAACACUGAGAAUAAUUCAUCCACCACUUGGCUUUUAAAACAGAGCAGGAAUGAGGACAAUGUGCAAAUCUAAAUGGCAGAUAACAGCAGCUAUUAGCUAACAAAUGGGCUUUACUCAGAGUUGUUUGUGUGAUGAACUUUUCCUGGAUUUAACUCAUUUUAGUAUGUUAAGUGAUUAUAUACUUUUUUCACUAAUAUCUGUAAUUUUUAGGAACAAAAUAAGCUGCUACUAACUGUAAUAAGCACAAAUCUAUUUCUUAGAAUUCUGAUUUGUAGUUUACUUUCUCUUUACACUUAAAAGCUAUUUAAAAGCAAAGCCGAUAUAAGCAAAUCAAAAGCAGCAUUGUGCACUUAGAUUAAAUACCUUCAUUUUCACAUCAAAAUUACUUGAAGGGGCAAAGAAUUGCUAUAUGUGAAAAAUCAAAGGAGAAAGGUAAGAAACUAUUCCAAAGAGGUUUGCUACGUUGCACAGCAAAAGCUCUGCACAGCCUCUCCAUGACCUAGACCUCAGCCAGCUCUGCACCGUUUAUUGGUUAUCUCUAAUAAAGCGAAAUCCGAGUACCUUUUCUGUUUUGUUACUUCCAUUUUAACACUAGCAGUAGCAGACAGACAGACAUAAUUUCGUUUUAGCCUGGGAGCUAAAAGAAAUACUUCUAACAUAUAUAUGUACUGUUACAGUCUGCCUUAUAAACCCUCAGUAGUAAAGUCAGCAGGAAUUGAGCACUAAAACUGGAGAAGAGUAAAUGGAAAGAGA